This 172-nucleotide ribosomal RNA is filed under the name uncultured bacterium. Its description in RNAcentral is "partial 16S ribosomal RNA". It matches the Rfam family "Bacterial small subunit ribosomal RNA", at positions 1322 to 1500 of the family's 1533-position model. The record is from RNAcentral.
GAAGCUGGAUUCGCUAGUAAUCGCGCAUCAGCCAUGGCGCGGUGAAUACGUUCCCGGGCCUUGUACACACCGCCCGUCAAGCCAUGGGAGCCGGGGGGUGCUUGAAGUGCGUCGCCGCAAGGCGCGCCCUAGAGCAAAACCGGUGACUGGGGCUAAGUCGUAACAAGGUAUC